GUCGGGCAGCGCGGUCGGAGGUCACGGAGGCUCUCAGGGUGAAGGAGGAAGAGGAGGAGGAGGAGGAGGAGGUCUGGGCUCCGUCCUCAGAGAUCUGGUGAAGCCGGGAGACGAGAACCUGAGAGAGAUGAACAAGAAGCUGCAGAACAUGUUGGAGGAACAGCUGACCAAGAACAUGCACCUGCAGAAGGAUUUGGAGGUUUUGUCCCAGGAAUUAGUCCGUCUCAGUAAAGAGAACACUCCUGCUGGCGCUGGGUCAGGAUGAGACUAUCACCUGGCUCUAACUCACCCCCCCCCCCCCCCCCCCCUCCAUAACAACUAUCAUUCACCUCAACUGGAAGAUGGUGGGGAGGGGUUGGGCUCAGACUAACACCUGGAACCAACUUCUCUUGCUUUCCCCAUUCCUUAAAAAUCCCUGACCUCAGACCUGCUGCGGGCCUCCGACUACACACUGGAACUUUUUCCAUCUUUCAUUUCUCCAGUUACAGGAUGGAGGGAAUGGAAACGUUUGGAAGGGUUGGGGCUCAGCUCAUUAUACUGUUGCUAUUGAAUGUACUGUAAUUAGACUGCACCACUCAGUUUAGUUCUAUCUGUUGGGUCCAGUCUACGACCUGGCACACACACACACACACACACACACACACACACACACACACAGACACAGACAGACACAGACACACAGUUUUAACAGGACUGUAAAUUUUUGCUUUCAGUUGUAAUGUGUCUGUCAGUGAGGGGUCCUGUCUAUGUUCUGGAUCUCCUCUGCUAUUUCUACAUGAACUGACUCAUCGGUUUCUAUGUGCUGGGAUCUGGCUACUUCCUGGACUGCCUCUCUGCAAUAUGAUCUCAUCCAUCAGUCGGUACCCGAGGGCUGUGACUAUGUCCUGGAGUCUCUCUCUCUGCUUCUAUCUGUAAUCGUAACUGAACUUCUCAUUCUUCACCUCAGCGGCGCAUUGUGUUUGUUUCUUCAGCUUUCGACCGCGUGUUCACGGCCUUCAUCGGGGAGCGGUUUGCUCGGUUGUCAUGGAGACGGUUUAGUUGUUAUCAGCUUAUUUAAACACGCAGAUUUCAGCUCUGAUAACUGAGCAAACGCCCGUUUAUAAAGGCCGUGAGAUGUGGCUGAAAGCUCUGAACAACAAAAAACAAGUGAACCUUUCUGCUCGUCGGCAUGUGACUACUUCCUGGACUACAUCAGGUUUCCAUUAAAAGUUUCAGUUUCAUUUUUACGUCUUUAAAAAAAACAAAGAAACUGCAGCACGAGUUAAAAGUUAGAAGCAUGUUAACGUCUUUAUCAACAGCUUCAAUUAGUUCUACUUUUUAUCUCCGUUUAAAUCACGUCUUUAAAAAAAAAAAAACUACGUUACCCAUGAGCCUUUGCAGAAGAGAACUGAGACAUCUCAAACAACUCUGUUAGAAUUGAAUCUGUCGGGCCGUGUCUACGUCCUGGAUCGUAAAAACCUACUGUACUCAUGAUAACAGAUAACUGAUUGUGUCGGGCCGUGUCUACGUCCUGGAUUAUCACAGUUUUUCUUUGUCUUACAUGUUUGAAUUAAACCUUCUGUGUCUUUCUUUACGCGGCUGCUUUUGCAUCUUUUUCUUCUUCUAUCUUCUAUUUAUUAACGCUCGAACACUCUGGGAUGCAAAAUGGCUCAACAACAACAAACAUGCAGCUGAAAUUAAAACAUGAAAAGCUUAUAAAAAAUAUGCAAUAUCGCAAAUAAUAAAAAGCUUUAAUUGGAUUAUUUAAAACAUUAACGAAGCAAAUGUGCAGUUUUUGCUUGUUGGGAUUAAUGUUUCAAGUGUAAGAACAUAAACAACUGAUAAAAAAUAAAUAUAUUAGAAAUGUAAACAAGCUUUCGUUGUGACUUUUAGGGAUUUCUGCACCAUUUGGCAUCUCUGGUGUUUAACCUGUGAUACAAAAAAACAAGCUGAAGAAGAACUAACCGUGUCUCUGCUUUAUGUGUUUAUUGUUAUUUUAAAUAUCUUUGCACUGUUUUGUUUUUGUUUUGGUAACUUUUAAUAUUUUGCUUUCAUGUAAUCGGGACUCCAAAUGGUGCAACGAGAAGAAGUGAAACUAAAAAAAAACACAUAUCUGAUUCAUUUUGGUUAUUUUAUUUUGAAACAGGAAAUGACACGACAGGAAAUGACGCGACUUCCUGUCUGGUUUGCCUUCGUUUUUUUGGACUCAUUUGUCUUGUUUUUGUUCGUGUUGUUUUGGUUUUUUUGGGCCCUGACUACGUCCUGGGUUAGAUUUAGACAUCUCGCUACAGGCAGCUUCUUCUGACCGGGCUCUGACUACUUCCUGGAUUCUGUACAUUUUAUUCCUUUGCUUUAGUUUAAAACGCUGCAGGAAAAUUAAUCGUCGUUAAAACUUUAAAAUCAAACUCGACUUGUUCUCAGUGCAGCAUUAAAAUUUAUAGAUAUAAUAAAUAAAUAUAUAUGUGAGCUUGAGAUUCAUUAACCCUCCUGUCGUCCUCCUGGGUCAAAUUGACCCCGUCUCCUUUGACUGUUCCUUCCUUCCUUCUUCUUUCUUUAAUAUUUCCUUUGUUCUUCCCCUCCUUCCCUCUUUCUUUGCUCCUUCCUCCUUGCAUACUUCUUUCUUUCCUUCCUUCCCUCCUUACUCCUUUCUUUCCUUCCUUCCUUCCUUCCUUCCUCCUUUCCUUCCUCCCUUCUUUCCUUACUUCCUUCCUCUUUUCCUCCUUACUCCUUUCCUUCCUCCCUCCCUUACUUCUCUCCUUCCUCCUUUCCUCCCUCCCUCCUUACGCCCUUCCUACCUUCCUUUCCUCUUUUCCUUCCUCUUUUCCUCCUGACUCCUUUCCUUCCUCCUUACUCUUUUCCUUUCUCCCUCCCUCCCUCCCUCCCUCCGUCCUUACUCCUUUCCUUCCUCCCUUACUUCUCUCCUUACUUCCUUCCUCUUUUCCUUCUUACUCCUUUCCUUCCUUCCUUCCUUCCUCCUUACUCCUUUCCUUCCUCCAACCCUCCCUCCUUACUCCUUCUCUCUUUACUUCCUUACUCAUUCUCUCCUUCCUCCCUUCCUUCCUCCCUCCCUUCCUUGACCUGAGGACAACAGGAGGGUUAAGCAGAUAUUAUAAUAAUCUCUCUGCACUGAGAACAGAUCUUCUCCUCUCUUCAGAGUCGGACCGAGCGGGACGUGUCUAUGUGCUGGGCUGCAGAGUUUUGUUUGUAAUGUUUAAAUCUGUAUAUAUAUAUAUUUACGCUGUGAUACGACUUUAACUGUAUGAAGAAUCAACUGAUCUAUUUAUGAGACUUUAACGAUGAUCGUGACGCUAAUUAUUGUAACUGAUGAAAAAAUAUGAUAAAAAAAAUUCUGUCUGGA
This is a long non-coding RNA of Scomber scombrus (Atlantic mackerel), 3337 nucleotides long. RefSeq lists it as uncharacterized. The transcript is spliced from 2 exons. The record is from RefSeq and is a predicted model, not a curated record. Lineage: Eukaryota; Metazoa; Chordata; Actinopteri; Scombriformes; Scombridae.